GGAAAACAUUUGACAAGUAAGGGAUAAUUUCCUAAAGGUCUGGAAAUUAUAAUAAACAAUACAGUUUAUGUAAUGGUAUAAACUGUAUUUCAUUGUUAGUUAUUCAGGAAAGGCUCUGAAUAUAUAACUAAUAAUAAUAAACAUGUUUUAUGUAACUGGUGAGGUAUCAGUUACAACUAUAUACAAAAAUGUCAGAAAGAGGUAUUCUGAUUAAAUUCACUUGAAGUUAGGAUUUUCUCUUAGGGUAAUUUAUUUUCUUAGUAAGAUAGCAGGA
RNAcentral lists this long non-coding RNA (274 nucleotides) under Mytilus galloprovincialis (Mediterranean mussel). Lineage: Eukaryota; Metazoa; Mollusca; Bivalvia; Mytilida; Mytilidae. The record is from RNAcentral.